This 406-nucleotide ribosomal RNA is filed under the name uncultured bacterium. Its description in RNAcentral is "partial 16S ribosomal RNA". It matches the Rfam family "Bacterial small subunit ribosomal RNA", at positions 29 to 526 of the family's 1533-position model. The record is from RNAcentral.
AUUGAACGCUGGCGGCAGGCCUAACACAUGCAAGUCGAACGAGUGGCGGACGGGUGAGUAAUGUCUGGGAAACUGCCUGAUGGAGGGGGAUAACUACUGGAAACGGUAGCUAAUACCGCAUACCAUCAGAUGUGCCCAGAUGGGAUUAGCUAGUUGGUGGGGUAACGGCUCACCAAGGCGACGAUCCCUAGCUGGCAUGAGAGGAUGACAAGACACACUGGAACUGAGAAACGGAGAAGCCUCCUACGGAAGGCAGCAGGGGGGAAUAAUGCACAAUGGGAGCAAGCCUGAUGCAGCCAUGCCGAGUGUAUGAAGAAGGCCUGCGGGUUGUAAAGUACUUUCAGCGGGGAGGCGUUACCCGCAGAAGAAGCACCGGCUAACUCCGUGCCAGCAGCCGCGGUAAUUC